RNAcentral lists this ribosomal RNA (465 nucleotides) under Vreelandella stevensii. RNAcentral's name for it is "partial 16S ribosomal RNA". It matches the Rfam family "Bacterial small subunit ribosomal RNA", at positions 338 to 795 of the family's 1533-position model. The record is from RNAcentral. Lineage: Bacteria; Pseudomonadati; Pseudomonadota; Gammaproteobacteria; Oceanospirillales; Halomonadaceae.
CCUACGGGCGGCAGCAGUGGGGAAUAUUGGACAAUGGGGGGAACCCUGAUCCAGCCAUGCCGCGUGUGUGAAGAAGGCCCUCGGGUUGUAAAGCACUUUCAGUGAGGAAGAACGCCUGGUGGUUAAUACCCAUCAGGAAAGACAUCACUCACAGAAGAAGCACCGGCUAACUCCGUGCCAGCAGCCGCGGUAAUACGGAGGGUGCGAGCGUUAAUCGGAAUUACUGGGCGUAAAGCGCGCGUAGGUGGCUUGAUAAGCCGGUUGUGAAAGCCCCGGGCUCAACCUGGGAACGGCAUCCGGAACUGUCAAGCUAGAGUGCAGGAGAGGAAGGUAGAAUUCCCGGUGUAGCGGUGAAAUGCGUAGAGAUCGGGAGGAUUACCAGUGGCGAAGGCGGCCUUCUGGACUGACACUGACACUGAGGUGCGAAAGCGUGGGUAGCAAACAGGAUUAGAUACCCCAGUAGUC